GUGAAUCAUCAAAUCUUUGAACGCAAAUUGCACUCUCUUCGGAGAGUAUGCCUGUUUGAGGGUCAGCCUAAAAAAAAUCGACGUAGUCGCUGUUUCGCGGUGACAUUCGUCGGGAGUUGGGUCAUCUUAAACCUUUUGGUUUUAAGCGGCUUAAAAUUUUCUUUACGAUUCCACGAACGUUUCUAAGUUUUUACUUCUUUCAUACGUUUAUGGUAUCGAUCUUUUUUAUAUGUUGUCGUUGCAUCGGA
This 248-nucleotide unclassified non-coding RNA is filed under the name Glomus sp. RNAcentral describes it as "partial contains 5.8S ribosomal RNA and internal transcribed spacer 2". The stretch from base 1 to 65 matches the Rfam family "5.8S ribosomal RNA", at positions 84 to 154 of the family's 154-position model. The record is from RNAcentral. Lineage: Eukaryota; Fungi; Glomeromycota; Glomeromycetes; Glomerales; Glomeraceae.